GAGCGCAUCACAGUGAACUGCAUCUGACAGCUUGCCAGGUUGGAGCAGGAGAAAAAACACCACACACAAGAGAGUAAACGACCGGUGGAACAGACCCGCUGUAAUUUUCACAAACCGAGCAUCAUCCAAAUCCACCCGGUAGAGACAAUAAAGAAAAGAAAGGAGGGAUAUUUCGCGGUUACAGUCCUCCCACAAAGCUCGCAUGUAUGGAAUGAUAAUGUUUUUGUUUUAACGCCCCAGAUGAUUGCGUACCAGGGGUAGCUAUUGAAAUACGCAAAAACCUGCCGCUUCGUUGGAUUUUCCUCCGAGACUGAGGCCAUGAAUUCCGCGGAGCAGACGGUCACUUGGCUGAUCACACUCGGGGUGCUGGAGUCUCCGAAAAAGACUAUAUCGGAUCCAGAGGCAUUUUUACAGACCUCCCUCAAAGAUGGGGUGGUCUUGUGCAGACUGCUGGAGCGGCUGAGCCCGGGCUCCAUGGACAAAAUCUACCAAGAACCGAAGAACGACGGCGAGUGCUUGAGCAACAUAAAGGAGUUUCUCAAAGGCUGCACUUCGUUUCGCGUAGAGCUGUUUGAGCCCAGUGAUCUGCUCCUAGGACUGAACUUCUCCAAGAUACUCAGCAGUCUGGUGGCUCUCAACAAAGUGACUGCAGAUAUUGGAGUGGGCAGUGACAGUGUCUGUGCCCGUCACUCGUCAGCCUAUCGGAUCAAGUCGUUUGAGUCUCUGGCCUCCCAGUCAUCACUGGGUCGAUCCUCCAAGCUGCUUCAGAACCAGUUCCGCAGCCUGGACAUGUCUGAGGGCAGCGGGACGCAGCUAUUGGUCAAGGCUCGCUUCAACUUUGAACAAACCAAUGAGGACGAGCUGUCCUUCAACAAGGGGGAUGUCAUCAAUGUGACACGCCAGGAGGAGGGCGGCUGGUGGGAGGGGAACUUCAACGGCAAGACCGGCUGGUUCCCUAGCAACUAUGUCCGUGAGAUCAAAGGCUGUGACAAACAAGUGUCCCCCAAAUCUGGGACCCUCAAGAGCCCCCCAAAAGGCGUUGACACUACGGCCAUUAGCAAGACCUACUACAACCUGGUGCUGCAGAACAUUCUAGAAACAGAGACAGAAUAUUCCAAGGACCUCCAGAGCCUUCUGACCAACUACCUGCGAUCACUCCAGAGCACAGAGAAACUGAGCAGUACAGAUGUGUACCUGAUCCUGGGGAACCUGGAGGAUAUCAACACCUUCCAGCAGAUGCUCGUCCAAUCACUGGAGGAGUGCACCAAACUUCCAGAGAGCCAGCAGAGGGUAGGGGGCUUCUUCAUGAACCUGAUGCCCCAGAUGAAGGCUCUCUACGUGGGUUACUGCUCCAAUCACCCCUCGGCAGUCAACGUGCUCACCCAGCACAGUGAGGAGCUGGGGGAGUUUAUGGAGGGGAAGGGAGCCAGUAGUCCAGGUAUCCUUACCCUGACCACAGGUCUCAGUAAACCCUUCAUGAGGCUGGACAAAUACCCUACACUAACGAAGGAACUGGAGAGACACAUGGAGGAGAGUCACCCCGACUGGCCAGACAUCCAGAAGUGUAUGACAACGUUCAAGAGCCUCUCGGCCCAGUGCCAGGAGGUGAGGAAGAGGAAGGAGCUGGAGCUGCAGAUAGUGACUGAGUCCAUCAGGCUGUGGGAGGGAGACGACAUCAGGACACUGGGCUCUGUUCUCUACAUGAGUCAGGCUCUGGUUAACAGCCCUGGAGCAGAGGAGAAGUGUGAGCGCUACCUCAUGCUUUUCCCUCAUGUCCUCCUCAUGCUGUCUGCCAGUCCAAGGAUGAGUGGCUUCAUAUUCCAGGGGAAGCUACCAUUGACUGGUAUGACUGUGACCAUGCUAGAGGACAGUGAGGCCCACAAAAACUCCUUUGAGCUUUCUGGCAGUCUAUUUGAGCGUCUCCAGGUUGUGUGUAACAAUCAGCAGGAUCAGCAGGACUGGGUAGACCACCUGACCCGUCAGACCAAACACACCACUGUCCCCAGCCACAAACCCCUCACUGUCCCCUGCCACACGUUGCCCUCCCAUCCUCUGACUCCGUCCCGUCACGCGGAGGGCCGGGCGAUGACGGUGGCUCCUGCCUACCACACCCUGCCACACCCCUCCUCCCACGGGGCUCCACACAGCACCAUGAUGUGGGGGCCCCUGGAGCCCCCCAACACCCCCAAGCCCUGGAGCCUCAGCUGCCUGCGUCCCUCACCCCCUCUCAGGCCCUCUGCAGCUCUCUCCUACAAGGAGGACCUCAGUAAAAGCCCUAAGAGUGUGAAGAAGCUUCUUCCUAAACGUAAACCAGAGCGAAAACAGUCAGACGAGGAGUUUGCCCUGAGGAAGAGUACAGCUGCUCUAGAGGAAGAUGCUCAGAUCCUAAAGGUGAUAGAAGCUUACUGUACCAGCGCCAAGACCAGACAGACCCUCAACUCCAGGACGAUGCGGAGGGACACAGGGCUGCAAGUCAUCAUCCCUGGAGAGGAGAAGAUCAUUGUGGAGGAGACCACGAGCAACGGACAGACUGUAGUCGGGGAGAAGAGCCUUGAGGAUGUAGUGUACGCCCUGAGGGACGAGGUACAGGAGCUCAAACAGGACAAUAAGAAGAUGAAGAGGUCACUGGAGGAGGAGCAGAGGGCACGGAAAGAUCUGGAGAAAGUGGUCAGGAGGGUCUUAAAGACUAUGAACGACCCCACCUGGGACGAGACUAACUUAUGAGGCCAAUAUACACACACCAAAUAGAAGAAAGCAAAGAAACGGAAGGAUAAAUUGAUGGAUGGAAGGAUAAGCGAAAGACACUAUCCUUCCCUUUAAAGAAUAUCAGGUGGAAUUAAAUCUGACAAAGACUCUUUGAUUGAAAUGGGAGUGAAGCAAUGGGAGCGGAGCAUCCAAAUUCUCCAGAGAGGGGAAGUCUUUUUGAAAGUGUUGUGCAGCUGAAAGACAUAGAGCGACACCCGGGACUUUACCUUUCAUUACUGGAGGAGAGGAGAGGAGAGGAACAUAUUGCGGUCCAGAAUAAAGAGUCUCUAAGGGUUCUUUCUACCUUGGUAUGAUAACAGGAUCAGUGGCUGGCUGGGAGCAUUGGGAUGGAGCCAACGGAGGGAUGAUGUGAGAGGAGUCUCUCUCUCUCCAGAUCACAAUCCCCCCUCCCUCCUCCCCUUCCAUGCCUGCACCUGAUGGAGGGAGGAUUAAGAGAGAGAGAGAGAGAGAGAGAGAGCAUUAGCAAAGAUUGAAGCUGAUCUUUACAUUGUCCACUGGCUCUGGUUUAGUAGAGAUGACUGCUUCUCUCUCUCUCUCUCUCUCUCUGUCUGUUUUCUCCCUCUCUCUCUCUCUCUCUCUCUCUCUCUCUCUCUCUCGCUCUGUUUUCUCCCUCUCUCUUCCCAGUGUCUUUUCAGCACAGAGAGAGGGAGAGGGAAGAUUGUUGGGAGGGGAAGAGGGAGAUGAGUUCAGCCAUAGAUUCCAUGACCAUUGUAUGUCAAUCAUGGUGUGUGUGUGUGUGUACAGCUAUAGCCCCCUCUCUUUUCCCAUCCCCUGGUGAUUAGCUGUCAGUGGUGGCCUCUUGCUGAGAGAGCGACAGAGAGAGAGAGAUGCAGUAAGGCCUUGGGAAGGGGGGAGAGCGAGAGGGAGUGUGAAAGAAAAAGAGAGAUAUAGAGACAGAUACUGACAGAAUGAGAUGUGGGAGUGUAGAGCCUGAGGCUGCAGAUGAACAGGAAACAGAAGAGAACCAAACAGAGAAAGUGACGGAGUGUUAAAACCUCUUUAGAUCUCUAUAAGAGGUUCUACUGUUGGUGAAAUAUAGGAACCAUGGUCCUCUCUAGCUGUAAUGUAGUUUACGGAGCAGGGAUGCGCUUUGAGCAUGUGGUCUCCUCUCCAGCUCCCAUCAACCCCCAGGAGAAGAUGAAGGGAGCUUUGAGUCUCUCAGGCGGAAGGUGCUAGAGACAGAAUAUUCAAAGGGCCUCCAGAGCCUUCAGACCAACUACUCUCCAGAGCCUUCAGACCAACUACUCUCCAGAGCCUUCAAACCAACUACUCUCCAGAGCCUUCAGACCAACUACUCUCCAGAGCCUUCAGACCAACUACUCUUCAGAGCCUUCAGACCAACUACUCUCCAGAGCCUUCAGACCAACUACUCUCCAGAGCCUUCAGACCAACUACUCUCCAGAGCCUUCAAACCAACUACUCUUCAGAGCCUUCAGACCAACUACUCUCCAGAGCCUUCAGACCAACUACUCUCCAGAGCCUUCAGACCAACUACUCUCCAGAGCCUUCAGACCAACUACUCUUCAGAGCCUUCAGACCAACUACUCUCCAGAGCCUUCAGACCAACUACUCUCCAGAGCCUUCAGACCAACUACUCUCCAGAGCCUUCAGACUAACUACUCUUCAGAGCCUUCAGACCAACUACUCUUCAGAGCCUUCAGACCAACUACUCUCCAGAGCCUUCAGACCAACUAGCUCCUGAAUCGCUAGCUAGACAUGUAACCCUUUGGGAGAGAAACAAAGGGGCAAAGGCAUAUACGGUUUGUCAUUGCACUCAUUUCUUUAUUUUUUAACAUUUAUAUACUCUACUCUUGUAUAUGAAACCGUGAGAGAAGCACUGAUGGUCGCAGAACUAUUUUUUUUCGGGCGAUCUUGUUGUUUUUGUGAUGGUUUUCAGACCAACUACUCUCCACAGCCUUCAGACCAACUACUCUCCAGAGCCUUCAGACCAACUAUUCUCCAGAGCUUUCAGACCAACUACCCUCCAGAGCCUUCAGACCAAGUACUCUCCAGAGUCUUCAGACUAACUACUCUCCAGAGCCUUCAGACCAACUACUCUUCAGAGCCUUCAGACCUACUCUCCAGAGCCUUCAGACCAACUACUCUCCAGAGCCUUCAGACCAACUACUCUCCAGAGCCUUCAGACCAACUACUCUACAGAGCCUUCAGACCAACUACUCUCCAGAGCCUUCAGACCAACUACUCUCCAGAGCCUUCAGACCAACUACUCCUCAGAGUCUUCAGACCAACUACUCUCCAGAGCCUUCAGACCAACUACUCUCCAGAGCCUUCAGACCAACUACUCUCCAGAGCCUUCAGACCAACUACUCCUCAGAGCCUUCAGACCAACUACUCUCCAGAGCCUUCAGACCAACUACUCUCCAGAGCCUUCAGACCAACUACUCUCCAGAGCCUUCAGACCAACUACUCUCCAGAGCCUUCAGACCAACUACUCUUCAGAGCCUUCAGACCAACUACUCUCCAGAGCCUUCAGACCAACUACUCUCCAGAGCCUUCAGACCAACUACUCUCCAGAGCCUUCAGACCAACUACUCUUCAGAGCCUUCAGACCAACUACUCUCCAGAGCCUUCAGACCAACUACUCUCCAGAGCCUUCAGACCAACUACUCUCCAGAGCCUUCAGACCAAGUACUCUCCAGAGCCUUCAGACCAACUACUCUCCAGAGCCUUCAGACUAACUACUCUUCAGAGCCUUCAGACCAACUACUCUUCAGAGCCUUCAGACCAACUACUCUCCAGAGCCUUCAGACCAACUAGCUCCUGAAUCGCUAGCUAGACAUGUAACCCUUUGGGAGAGAAACAAAGGGGCAAAGGCAUAUACGGUUUGUCAUUGCACUCAUUUCUUUAUUUUUUAUUUUUUUACAUUUAUAUACUCUACUCUUGUAUAUGAAACCGUGAGAGAAGCACUGAUGGUCACAGAACUAUUUUUUUUGGGGCGAUCUUGUUGUUUUUGUGAUGGUUUUCAGACCAACUACUCUCCACAGCCUUCAGACCAACUACUCUCCAGAGCCUUCAGACCAACUAUUCUCCAGAGCUUUCAGACCAACUACCCUCCAGAGCCUUCAGACCAAGUACUCUCCAGAGCCUUCAGACCAACUACUCUCCAGAGUCUUCAGACUAACUACUCUCCAGAGCCUUCAGACCAACUACUCUUCAGAGCCUUCAGACCUACUCUCCAGAGCCUUCAGAGCAACUACUCUCCAGAGCCUUCAGACCAACUACUCUACAGAGCCUUCAGACCAACUACUCUACAGAGCCUUCAGACCAACUACUCUCCAGAGCCUUCAGACCAACUACUCUCCAGAGCCUUCAGACCAACUACUCCUCAGAGCCUUCAGACCAACUACUCUCCAGAGCCUUCAGACCAACUACUCUCCAGAGCCUUCAGACCAACUACUCUCCAGAGCCUUCAGACCAACUACUCUCCGGAGCCUUCAGACCAACUACUCUCCGGAGCCUUCAGACCAACUACUCCUCAGAGCCUUCAGACCAACUACUCUCCAGAGCCUUCAGACUAACUACUCUCCAGAGCCUUCAGACCAACUACUCUCCAGAGCCUUCAGACCAACUACUCUCCGGAGCCUUCAGACCAACUACUCCUCAGAGCCUUCAGACCAACUACUCUCCAGAGCCUUCAGACCAACUACCCCUCAGAGCCUUCAGACCAACUACUCUCCAGAGCCUUCAGACCAACUACUCUCCAGAGCCUUCAGACCAACUACUCUCCAGAGCCUUCAGACCAACUACUCUCCGGAGCCUUCAGACUAACUACUCUACAGAGCCUUCAGACCAACUACUCUCCAGAGCCUUCAGACCAACUACUCUCCGGAGCCUUCAGACUAACUACUCUACAGAGCCUUCAGACCAACUACUCUCCAGAGCCUUCAGACCAACUACUCUCCGGAGCCUUCAGACUAACUACUCUACAGAGCCUUCAGACCAACUACUCUCCGGAGCCUUCAGACUAACUACUCUACAGAGCACAGAGAAGUAACCUCCACUGGUGGAAAUAUACUUUAUUCACUAUGUAACCCUUCACUAUGGCUGUCUGUCUGUUUGAUGACAUAUAGCAUAUUAUCCAGGGCCACUGGUUGGAUUUACUGUACUCACUCCAAAACACAUGCAACCUUCUCCCUGUAAAAGUCUCCCAGACUUGUAUAAAAAGGAACGUGUCCAUCCCUCUGUUCCCAGCUGAUUCUGCUGGGCCAUGGAACUCUAGAGCAGCACAUCAAAAAACCUGCCACCCUGUUGCCAGCUAUCGACGGUUCCCCGAGGAAAGAUGCAACUGUCAAGGCUUUAAAUGGUCAAAUUUGGGGGAUGACCACCAAAUUCAAUAAAGUUUUGCAGAAACUACAAUAA
Non-coding RNA from Oncorhynchus mykiss (rainbow trout), 7146 nucleotides. Lineage: Eukaryota; Metazoa; Chordata; Actinopteri; Salmoniformes; Salmonidae. The record is from RefSeq and is a predicted model, not a curated record.